CUUUAAACACCCACACACCUUUUGCUCUACUUGCACUCUGUGCGUGGUUUCAAGGAAAUAAGAUCUUUUGCUUGAAGACUUCAUCUGCUCCUGCUUGCCACAGCUCAGAAGCCAAUAAUCCUCUCCGUGAUAUCAGGCAUGCUUGCCUGAUACCAUGCCAAGGACAGCGCAUGAGAUUCUUGGGCAUGUGGAAUAGGAACAACAGAUGAGAAACCGCAACAGAUGCAAGAGCCUCGUCUCAACCACAUCCUUCCCUGUGCAUACUACCCCUGUGGGGAGAGCACCCAUUUAGGAAGCUGGG
Gallus gallus (chicken) is the source of this 301-nucleotide long non-coding RNA. NCBI's taxonomy places the organism in Eukaryota, Metazoa, Chordata, Aves, Galliformes, Phasianidae. The record is from Ensembl.